This 23-nucleotide non-coding RNA is filed under the name Arabidopsis thaliana (thale cress). Lineage: Eukaryota; Viridiplantae; Streptophyta; Magnoliopsida; Brassicales; Brassicaceae. The record is from RNAcentral.
AUUCGUGCAGACAAAAGAUAAGC